This 484-nucleotide ribosomal RNA is filed under the name uncultured bacterium. Its description in RNAcentral is "partial 16S ribosomal RNA". It matches the Rfam family "Bacterial small subunit ribosomal RNA", at positions 30 to 507 of the family's 1533-position model. The record is from RNAcentral.
AUUGAACGCUGGCGGCAGGCCUAACACAUGCAAGUCGAGCGGAUGAAGGGAGCUUGCUCCUGGAUUCAGCGGCGGACGGGUGAGUAAUGCCUAGGAAUCUGCCUGGUAGUGGGGGAUAACGUCCGGAAACGGGCGCUAAUACCGCAUACGUCCUGAGGGAGAAAGUGGGGGAUCUUCGGACCUCACGCUAUCAGAUGAGCCUAGGUCGGAUUAGCUAGUUGGUGGGGUAAAGGCCUACCAAGGCGACGAUCCGUAACUGGUCUGAGAGGAUGAUCAGUCACACUAGAACUGAGACACGGUCCAGACUCCUACGGGAGGCAGCAGUGGGGAAUAUUGGACAAUGGGCGAAAGCCUGAUCCAGCCAUGCCGCGUGUGUGAAGAAGGUCUUCGGGUUGUAAAGCACUUUAAGUUGGGAGGAAGGGCAGUAAGUUAAUACCUUGCUGUUUUGACGUUACCAACAGAAUAAGCACCGGCUAACUUCGUG